UUUAUGGAGAGUUUGAUCCUGGCUCAGGAUGAACGCUGGCGGCAUGCCUAAUACAUGCAAGUCGAGCGAACGGA
RNAcentral lists this ribosomal RNA (74 nucleotides) under Staphylococcus aureus. RNAcentral describes it as "partial 16S ribosomal RNA". It matches the Rfam family "Bacterial small subunit ribosomal RNA", at positions 1 to 74 of the family's 1533-position model. The record is from RNAcentral. Lineage: Bacteria; Bacillati; Bacillota; Bacilli; Caryophanales; Staphylococcaceae.